AGAGUUUGAUCCUGGCUCAGGACGAACGCUGGCGGCGCGCUUAAUACAUGCAAGUCGAGCGAGAACCAGUCCUUCGGGACUGGGGAAAGCGGCGAACGGGUGAGUAACACGUGGGUAAUCUGCCCUCGGCACUGGGAUAGCCCGGGGAAACCCGGAUUAAUACCGGAUAGCCUUUCGAGCCUUCGGGCUCGUCAGAAAAGGUGGCUUCGGCUUCCGGCUGAGGAUGAGCCCGCGGCGGAUUAGCUUGUUGGUGAGGUAAUGGCUCACCAAGGCUCCGAUCUGUAGCUGGUCUGAGAGGACGAUCAGCCACACUGGGACUGAGACACGGCCCAGACUCCUACGGGAGGCAGCAGUAGGGAAUCUUGCGCAAUGGGCGAAAGCCUGACGCAGCGACGCCGCGUGCGGGAAGAAGGCCUUCGGGUUGUAAACCGCUUUCAGGAGGGACGAAGCCACUCGGGUUAAUAGCCCAGAGGGUGACGGUACCUCCAGAAGAAGCUCCGGCUAACUACGUGCCAGCAGCGGCGGUAAUUC
RNAcentral lists this ribosomal RNA (531 nucleotides) under uncultured bacterium. Its description in RNAcentral is "bacterial SSU rRNA". It matches the Rfam family "Bacterial small subunit ribosomal RNA", at positions 8 to 526 of the family's 1533-position model. The record is from RNAcentral.